Molecule: ribosomal RNA, 492 nt
Filed under: uncultured bacterium
Lineage: Bacteria
Description: partial 16S ribosomal RNA
Rfam family: Bacterial small subunit ribosomal RNA
Source: RNAcentral
AGUGAACGCUGGCGGUAGGCCUAACACAUGCAAGUCGAACGGCAGCACAGUAAGAGCUUGCUCUUACUGGUGGCGAGUGGCGGACGGGUGAGGAAUACAUCGGCAUCUACUUUUUCGUGGGGGAUAACGUAGGGAAACUUACGCUAAUACCUCAUACUACCUACGGGUGAAAGCAGGAGAUCUUCGGACCUUGCGCGAUUGAAUUAGCCGAUGUCGGAUUAGCUAGUUGGCGGGGUAAAGGCCCACCAAGGCGACGAUCCGUAGCUGGUCUGAGAGGAUGAUCAGCCACACUGGAACUGAGACACGGUCCAGACUCCUACGGGAGGCAGCAGUGGGGAAUAUUGGACAAUGGGCGCAAGCCUGAUCCAGCCAUACCGCGUGGGUGAAGAAGGCCUUCGGGUUGUAAAGCCCUUUUGUUGGGAAAGAAAAGCAGCAGGUUAAUCCCCCGCUGUUCUGACGGUACCCAAAGAAUAAGCACCGGCUAACUUCGUG